RNAcentral lists this ribosomal RNA (864 nucleotides) under uncultured fungus. Its description in RNAcentral is "eukaryotic LSU rRNA". The stretch from base 229 to 383 matches the Rfam family "5.8S ribosomal RNA". Lineage: Eukaryota; Fungi. The record is from RNAcentral.
CGUAGGUGACCUGCGGAAGGAUCAUUACCGAGUUAGGGUUCGUCCCACGAGCCCGAUCUCCCAACCCUUUGUCUAUCUUACCUUGUCGUUGCUUCGGCGGACCGGCCGUGACCAACUGGUCGUGGCCGCCGGGGGUCCAUCCCUUGGAGAGCGUCCGCCGAUGGCCCAACCACAAACUCUUGUACCAAACCAUGUCGUCUGAAUUACUUGAUUAAAAUCAAAAAACAAAACUUUCAACAACGGAUCUCUUGGUUCUGGCAUCGAUGAAGAACGCAGCGAAAUGCGAUAAGUAAUGCGAAUUGCAGAAUUUCCGUGAGUCAUCGAAUCUUUGAACGCACAUUGCGCCCACUGGUAUUCCGGUGGGCAUGCCUGUUCGAGCGUCAUUAUCCUCCCUCAAACCUCGGGUUUGGUGUUGGACCCAAGUUGUGUGAACAACUGGUCUCAAAGACAAUGACGGCGUCCCGUGGGACCCUCGGUGCAACGAGCUUUUAAACGAGCACGCGUCGAGUUUCAAGGACCUUCCGGGCCGGUCUCCUUCUUUUAUUUACAAAGGUUGACCUCGGAUCAGGUAAGGAAUACCCCGCCUGAACUUAAGCAUAUCAAUAAGCGGAAGGAAAAAGAAACCAAACAGGGAUUGCCUUCAGUAACGGCGAGUGAAGCCGGCCACAGCUCCAAAUUUGAAAUCUGGGCCUACCGUCCGAGUUGUAAUUUGUAGAGGGAUGUUUUGGGUACCCGCCGCCGGUUAAAUUUCCUGGAACAGAAUGUCAAAGAAGGUGAGAGUCCCGUCUGGAUCGCGGUAAGGCCUGUGUAAAACUCCCNNGACCGAGAUCGACCUUGUUGGNAUGCAGUCAAAAUGGGUGGUAA